UUAAGCUUAGAAUGUUUAUAGCUGUGUCUGAAAGAUAGCUGUAAAGUAAUCUCUGGUUUAAGCUCACUCGCUCCUGCACUUUCAUGCGAGCUCAGUCCUCUACGCAUUGGAUUGUGGGAAAUUGUGCUUUAAGUGUACAUUGGAUGUACGCUCUAGUUCAGAGAGGAUUGUGGGUAAAAGUAGUGAACUAAUGUAGGGAAUGAUGUCAUUCACUCAGAAUUCGGACACCACUACAAAAUGGCCGACACCCUAAAUAGUGCACUAUAUAGUGGAUAGGGAGCAAUUUCAGACACAGCUUAUAUCUUUGUGUUUUGUGUUAAUAUCUAAUGUUAGCCAAAUUCAGGGAUGACAUUAUUUAUGGCUUGUUUUGAUGCCAUCAGGGCGCCAAAAACAAAUCCACAGCAACCAAAGGAGGACAUCAACACCAUUGAAACAGACAUCAGUAACUCGUAAAUUUACGAUAAAACCUUUUCUUCCCAUUUAACCCAUACCCAUAUUUUACCCAUAUAACAUGUGCUAAAAUCUACUGCUAAACUUUGGCCUUUCCCACUAAUUAGCCUUGACAGCAAGGAAUCGCACCCCACACUUUAGACAUGGAGAGGCAGAGGUCUUAAGUUGUAAGUAAUACUGUGUCAGUUCACUAACACUGCAUUCAAAUAUUACAGGUUUACCCAUAUAUCCAAAAUACUGUUACACAACAUGCGUUAUCUUUCACAACAAUUUAAGUUCUAAAACUGACCGUGUUUAACUCAACCUAUUAAACUAAAUUUUGUACAACCAAAUCUGCAGAGUAAAAGAGUUUUACUUCCUUCUACUGUCAUUUAACAUGUUCAAACUAAUAUAUUGUUGUGGUGUUCCCCUCUUUAGCAUCAUCCCACACUGGUUUCAGUGAAGGUUGGUACUGACAGUAAGGCAUUUUUUUUCAUAGCUUUUUCUUUUUUUUAUAGCUUGGAUACGCAAAAUUCUUGCAAACCAAGAAAUGAUUUAAGAACAGAUGGGAACAUUGGUUAAAUUGGUCUACGACCUCAAAAAAUUAUCAACUACAGAAGACAGCCCAACAUUAAACACAGACUGUUUUCCAAUGUCAAGUUUUCAACAACUUCAAGUCAUGGAGGGGCAGCUGCAGCAGGAAGACUACAAAACAACUGUGGUAAGAUUUCAUAUUUCAAUAGAACAAUUUAACUCCUCAAUUAACUGUGUCAGUGUUUUCAUCUUUUGUUCAUUGUACAUGGUACAGAAGGUAGUCAACCACAUGUUAAAAUCAUAUCUGUACUGGCUGGGCCGGUUCGACAUGGAAUGGUUAAGCAACAAGAAAGAUAAACACGUUAGCCUUGAGGGGAGGCACAUCAGUAAAGGAAAGUGUAUGGCGGAUUCUGAGCUUCCUUCUAUCAAACGACAUGGCCCGGCAAAUGAACUGGAGGGGAAUCAAUGGAAAAGCGGCAUUCAAAGACACCUCUCUGAAAACUGUAAUUAAUGCUGCAGUCAGAAGAAACCGUUUGACUUCCACUGCAACAGACCAGGAAGUAGAAAACUGGAUAAAGAGAUGGCUGCAGCUUUCCGCAGACAGGGAUGGAGGCCGUCGGGCAAGACAAAAAAAUUGACUGUUUCCUGGUUCUGACACUUGCUUGUUCAACGGACUGCCCUUUUGCCUUGCUGUUUUUGAACUAUAGAUCUGAUACUCCACUUGUUUAUUAAAUUCUCCUGGUUCUGACACUUGCUCGCCCUGCCUGUUCAACGGACUGCCCUUUUGCCUUGCUCUGUUUUUUUAACUAUAGAUCCGAUUCUACGCUUGUUUUAUUAAAUUCUCCUGGUUUUGAGUGACACUUGCUUGACCUUGUUCAUAAUAUGUAGACCUUGUCUAAUGUUUUCUUUGGACUGAUUUCUGGCAGUCCUCCCCUUCUGGACCUCUGCCUGUUUAAUUGUAUAUAUUUAUAUAAUGUAUUUAUUAUAUUUAUUGUUUCCUUUUUUUUUUUUUAUAAAUAUUUGUUUUCUUUGGACUACCUUCUUGGUUUCUUGCAGUCCUCCCCUUCUGGACCCUGCCUGUUUUUAUUUUAUAUUUGUUAUUUAUAUAAUAUGUAUUUAGAAUAUGUAUUGUUUCCUGUUUUUGAUUACUAUUUAUACAUUUAAAUGUAAAAUUUAACUAAUUUUUUUUUUUAUAAAUAUUUGUUUUCUUUGAACUACCUUCUUGGUUUCUUGCAGUCCUCCCCUUCUGGACCCUGCCUGUUUUUAUUUUAUAUUUGUUAUUUAUAUAAUAUGUUUAUGUAUUGUUUCCUGUUUUUGAUUACUAUUUAUACAUUUAAAUGUAUUCAUGAAAUAUUUUAUAUUUAUUAAAUCACUUUUGACUGAUUAUUUUAGUAUUUUCUUUAAUAUAUGAUAAUUAGAUCUGGGCCACAUGUGGCCCAUGCCAUUUUUG
This is a long non-coding RNA of Cyprinus carpio (common carp), 2413 nucleotides long. The record is from Ensembl. Lineage: Eukaryota; Metazoa; Chordata; Actinopteri; Cypriniformes; Cyprinidae.